UACGGGAGGCAGCAGUAGGGGAAUCUUCCGCAAUGGACGAAAGUCUGACGGAGCAACGCCGCGUGAACGAAGAAGGCUUUCGGGUCGUAAAGUUCUGUUGUUAGGGAAGAACAAGUACCAGAGUAACUGCUGGUACCUUGACGGUACCUAACCAGAAAAGCCACGGCUAACUACGUGCCAGCAGCCGCGGUAAUACGUAGGUGGCAAGCGUUGUCCGGAAUUAUUGGGCGUAAAGCGCGCGCAGGUGGUUCCUUAAGUCUGAUGUGAAAGCCCACGGCUCAACCGUGAGGGUCAUUGGAAACUGGGGAACUUGAGUGCAGAAGAGGAAAGUGGAAUUCCACGUGUAGCGGUGAAAUGCGUAGAGAUGUGGAGGAACACCAGUGGCGAAGGCGACUUUUCUGGUCUGUAACUGACACUGAGGCGCGAAAGCGUGGGGAGCGAACAGGGAUUAGAUACCCGU
Molecule: ribosomal RNA, 460 nt
Filed under: uncultured bacterium
Lineage: Bacteria
Description: bacterial SSU rRNA
Rfam family: Bacterial small subunit ribosomal RNA
Source: RNAcentral